GUGCUUUUCGACACCCUAAGGCGGUGUCAGAAUAAGGGCUGGGCAAGACCGGUGCCAGCCGCCGCGGUAAUACCGGCAGCCCGAGUGAUGGCCGAUCUUAUUGGGCCUAAAGCGUCCGUAGCUGGCCGCGCAAGUCCAUCGGGAAAUCCGCCCGCUCAACGGGCGGACGCCCGGUGGAAACUGCGUGGCUUGGGACCGGAAGGCGCGACGGGUACGUCCGGGGUAGGAGUGAAAUCCCGUAAUCCUGGACGGACCGCCGAUGGCGAAAGCACGUCGCGAGGACGGAUCCGACAGUGAGGGACGAAAGCCAGGGUCUCGAACCGGAUUAGAUACCCGGGUAGUCCUGGCCGUAAACGAUGCCUGCUAGGUGUGGCUCCCGCUACGAGCGGGUGCUGUGCCGUAGGGAAGCCGCUAAGCAGGCCGCCUGGGAAGUACGUCCGCAAGGAUGAAACUUAAAGGAAUUGGGGGGGGAAGCACA
This 478-nucleotide ribosomal RNA is filed under the name Halorubrum sp. AC2. RNAcentral's name for it is "bacterial SSU rRNA". It matches the Rfam family "Archaeal small subunit ribosomal RNA", at positions 404 to 880 of the family's 1478-position model. The record is from RNAcentral. Lineage: Archaea; Methanobacteriati; Methanobacteriota; Halobacteria; Halobacteriales; Haloferacaceae.